GUACUUACUGAGCUUGUAGGACCAUGGAGAUACAUUGGAGACUUGGUUUGCAGGAAGAAAUAUUAUAUCUCAAGAUGCAACCAAAUGCAAAUCAACAUUGGAGAAACAUCCACUUCAAUGGCAUCUCAUUAAUAAGAGUAAACUGUCUCAUCCUUGUUACUUUCAGUUCUUUGUGAACAAAAGUGUGUCACAAUUCUUGUAGUUGUAAAACACUUGAAAGUAACUUUGUUUCAAUCCCUAGCUAUCCAUUACUUUGUGCCAUAUGAUGCUUUUAACGUCUCUCUAGUAGAGAAUUUAUCUUACGAUGAAAUGCAGAAAAACAAAGAAAUCAUCAUUUGUUUUCAACAAGGCAAAACUUCUGAAGCAAUGUUUGAUUGGAGAUGAUAUUUGUACUAGUCGGAACUUCCUACAAACGGUUGGAACUUCCGAACAUCACUGGAAGUUUCAUCUCUCCUCCGAUCAAGGGUUCUCGGGAAUCAGGAUUAUUUUUGUCGGAAUUUCCGACAUGGUGUCGGAACUUCCGAUAAACAUCGGAAGUUUCGUGUUACUUCCGACCGAGGGCUCUCGGGAAACCGUCUCUGGACAGACCGGUCUGGCCCAGAGCAGUUUACCUGAGCAUUCUGAAGUGAGAAAUGAUGCUGUGGAUUAUUAUUUGAAGAACUCUCUCACUUAAGGCACAAGUUUGGGUACAUAAAAGUGACAGACAGACCGGUGGGCAAGAGAAGGCGCGUGGCAAGACCGUCUCGAAAGGCUCGACAGCUAAUGGGCGGUUACGGAGGAUGUGCUACAGCUUUUCAUUGUUUGCACCUUCGUUUCGGGGGAUUGAUGGUGGAGGAUUGCAGCUUGUGUGCACGGUUUGGCGAACAGAUGGGGAUCGAUGGCCGGGUCGGAGGUGGAAGAUCUACAGUAGCAGUAGGGACUUGGUUAUAAUUUUCUUAUUCCUCGGGGUCCUUUCUGCAAAAGUUGGGUGUAAUGAUCCUUUUAAUAUAUAAGUGCAUCCUCUUCGCAAAAAAAUGUAAAUGGCGUUAUCUUUAUUUAUUUAUUUUGCUCGCAAAAGUGUAAAGAUGGACCACUGAACGUAACCAUGGUCCAUGUGAGUAUGUGAUGAGUACACCUGCAAGUUGCAAGGUGGAAAUUGUAUAUAUGAUCUUAAUAGUAUAUUGUAA
Panicum virgatum (switchgrass) is the source of this 1166-nucleotide long non-coding RNA. RefSeq lists it as uncharacterized. Lineage: Eukaryota; Viridiplantae; Streptophyta; Magnoliopsida; Poales; Poaceae. The record is from RefSeq and is a predicted model, not a curated record. The transcript is spliced from 2 exons.